GUGGGGAAUUUUGGACAAUGGGCGCAAGCCUGAUCCAGCAAUGCCGCGUGCAGGAAGAAGGCCUUCGGGUUGUAAACUGCUUUUGUACGGAACGAAACGGUCCGGGUUAAUACCCUGGGCUAAUGACGGUACCGUAAGAAUAAGCACCGGCUAACUACGUGCCAGCAGCCGCGGUAAUACGUAGGGUGCAAGCGUUAAUCGGAAUUACUGGGCGUAAAGAGUGCGCAGGCGGUUUUGUAAGACAGGCGUGAAAUCCCCGGGCUCUACCUGGGAAUUGCGCUUGUGACUGCAAGGCUGGAGUGCGGCAGGGGGGGAUGGAAUUCCGCGUGUAGCAGUGAAAUGCGUAGAUAUGCGGAGGAACACCGAUGGCGAAGGCAAUCCCCUGGGCCUGCACUGACGCUCAUGCACGAAAGCGUGGGGAGCAAACAGGAUUAGAAACCCGGGUAGUCC
Molecule: ribosomal RNA, 450 nt
Filed under: uncultured bacterium
Lineage: Bacteria
Description: bacterial SSU rRNA
Rfam family: Bacterial small subunit ribosomal RNA
Source: RNAcentral